Molecule: long non-coding RNA, 225 nt
Organism: Acanthopagrus latus (yellowfin seabream)
Lineage: Eukaryota; Metazoa; Chordata; Actinopteri; Spariformes; Sparidae
Exons: 2
Source: RefSeq, a predicted model, not a curated record
GUGAGAUGUGGAGCAUGUUAAGAAGCUUAAAACACAGUCUGCAUGAUUAAAUCGACCGAAGUUCUCCUUCAAGUUGCUGAGUGGCAGAACUGACUUGUUCCAGACCUGCUGGUCACUGUUGGUGCAUUUUAACUGAGAAAGAUCCAAAAAAGUCAUCUGUAGUGUUUUUAUCAUAGUGUGAGUUAUGCAGGUUCCAGCAGAACAUUAAACAGUGAUUGGAUCGUC